RNAcentral lists this ribosomal RNA (467 nucleotides) under uncultured bacterium. RNAcentral's name for it is "partial 16S ribosomal RNA". It matches the Rfam family "Bacterial small subunit ribosomal RNA", at positions 28 to 506 of the family's 1533-position model. The record is from RNAcentral.
GACGAACGCUGGCGGCGUGCUUAACACAUGCAAGUCGAACGGAAAGGCCCUGCUUUUGUGGGGUGCUCGAGUGGCGAACGGGUGAGUAACACGUGAGUAACCUGCCCUUGACUUUGGGAUAACUUCAGGAAACUGGGGCUAAUACCGGAUAGGAGCUCCUGCUGCAUGGUGGGGGUUGGAAAGUUUCGGCGGUUGGGGAUGGACUCGCGGCUUAUCAGCUUGUUGGUGGGGUAGUGGCUUACCAAGGCUUUGACGGGUAGCCGGCCUGAGAGGGUGACCGGCCACAUGGGGACUGAGAUACGGCCCAGACUCCUACGGGAGGCAGCAGUGGGGAAUAUUGCACAAUGGGCGGAAGCCUGAUGCAGCAACGCCGCGUGCGGGAUGACGGCCUUCGUGUUGUAAACCGCUUUCGCCUGUGACGAAGCGUGAGUGACGGUAAUGGGUAAAGAAGCACCGGCUAACUACGU